GUGCUCGCUUUGGCAGCACAUAUACUAAAAUUGGAACGAUACAGAGAAGAUUAGCAUGGCCCCUGUGCAAGGAUGACAUGCAAAUUCGGGAAGCGUUCCAUAUUUUU
RNAcentral lists this small nuclear RNA (107 nucleotides) under Tupaia belangeri chinensis (Chinese tree shrew). The record is from RNAcentral. Lineage: Eukaryota; Metazoa; Chordata; Mammalia; Scandentia; Tupaiidae.